Molecule: unclassified non-coding RNA, 1214 nt
Filed under: Acromyrmex echinatior (Panamanian leafcutter ant)
Lineage: Eukaryota; Metazoa; Arthropoda; Insecta; Hymenoptera; Formicidae
Description: androgen-induced gene 1 protein-like, transcript variant X1
Source: RNAcentral
GUAAUGGAAAAUGCGGUUUGAGAGAGUGAAGAUCAGCAAACAUAGUUUGAAUGACCGAUUAGUAGAUUAUUCCGGAUUUGAUUAUGUAAAAUUUUCCACACUCGGGUUUCAUACGCAACUUAGUAUCAUCGGGAAAGUUUCAAUGAGAUCCCAGCGAUUCUCCAAGAAACAUAAUUAAAGAUAACACCAAGAAAAAUAAUUUAAAAAGAAAAAGUAUGAGAUUGUUUCGAAAGAACUGUGUACACCGACGAGUGCGUGGGUCUUCCUGCUUUUAUUUGACGUCGAGUCGCAGAUGUUCGUGUGAUCCCCAAAAAGAGAUGAGAUAAUUACACGUUUUCAGACUCACUCGUGAACGACCGUGAGAUGCGAGAGGGCCUAGCGAUCGGAUUCCAUGCAGUUACUUUUCUGCAAUACGCUUUUGCGGUUUUUUACGAUUACAUGUAUACGAUCGUGCCGCACGAUGUUAGGAGUGUGCACAACGCCUACGGUGGGAAGUUCAAGUUCCUAACGUUCUGGGAUGCGAUUCUGCAAACGAUAUUCUUCUUGAUAUGUCUUCUAAACGAUUUAUUCGGCACAAAUGCUAUAAACCCCAAGAAGUCGCCUUUCACGCGGAAGUUGAAAGAUUACUUCUAUGCGAGUCUCGGGUUUCCGGUUGCUAUGUUCGUCGGCGUGACUUUCUGGGUGUUAAUGUUCGUGGAUCGUGAACUGGUAUUGCCGAAAGCACUGGAUCCGUACUUCCCAUGGUGGUUGAACCACUUAAUGCAUACAAUGAUCAUGGUGACGAUAAUGUUAGAAACGAUAUUCGUGUCACGGCAAUAUCCUAAGCGAUCUCGCAGCCUCGGAAUACUCAUUAGCUUUAUGCUCACGUACUUAGUCUGGGUACACGUAAUCUACUAUAAAAGCGGCGUCUGGGUGUACCCCGUGAUGGACGUGCUGACGCUGCCACUACGGAUUGUGUUCUUCGUCGUGCUACUGGCGUUUUGCGUAAUCCUAUACUUCGUCGGAGAGACUCUGAACAACAUCAUCUGGGGUAACGAAUACACAAAGCAUAAAAAAUCUCACGCCAAAUCCAAGUAGCCUCGCCCAAGCGUUCCUAACGGGUGAUAAAAACCACAUCUGCCUGCUGCCUGCGGUGUUGGAAAAAAAUACAUAGCGGUAACGGAGAGCGUGGAGCCAGAUUUGAAAACGUAGGAAACGGCAGAUGGACGAGAGGG